This 498-nucleotide ribosomal RNA is filed under the name uncultured bacterium. Its description in RNAcentral is "partial 16S ribosomal RNA". It matches the Rfam family "Bacterial small subunit ribosomal RNA", at positions 28 to 508 of the family's 1533-position model. The record is from RNAcentral.
GACGAACGCUGGCGGCGUGCCUAAUACAUGCAAGUUGAGCGAUGAAGAUUGGUGCUUGCACCAAUUUGAAGAGCAGCGAACGGGUGAGUAACGCGUGGGGAAUCUGCCUUUGAGCGGGGGACAACAUUUGGAAACGAAUGCUAAUACCGCAUAACAACUUUAAACAUAAGUUUUAAGUUUGAAAGAUGCAAUUGCAUCACUCAAAGAUGAUCCCGCGUUGUAUUAGCUAGUUGGUGAGGUAAAGGCUCACCAAGGCGAUGAUACAUAGCCGACCUGAGAGGGUGAGCGGCCACAUUGGGACUGAGACACGGCCCAAACUCCUACGGGAGGCAGCAGUAGGGAAUCUUCGGCAAUGGACGAAAGUCUGACCGAGCAACGCCGCGUGAGUGAAGAAGGUUUUCGGAUCGUAAAACUCUGUUGGUAGAGAAGAACGGUGGUGAGAGUGGAAAGCUCAUCAAGUGACGGUAACUACCCAGAAAGGGACGGCUAACUACGUGC